Molecule: ribosomal RNA, 493 nt
Filed under: uncultured bacterium
Lineage: Bacteria
Description: partial 16S ribosomal RNA
Rfam family: Bacterial small subunit ribosomal RNA
Source: RNAcentral
AUUGAACGCUGGCGGCAUGCUUUACACAUGCAAGUCGAACGGUAACAGGUUAAGCUGACGAGUGGCGAACGGGUGAGUAAUGCAUCGGAACGUGCCCGAUCGUGGGGGAUAACGCAGCGAAAGCUGCGCUAAUACCGCAUACGAUCUGAGGAUGAAAGCGGGGGACCGUAAGGCCUCGCGCGAUCGGAGCGGCCGAUGUCAGAUUAGGUAGUUGGUGGGGUAAAGGCUCACCAAGCCAACGAUCUGUAGCUGGUCUGAGAGGACGACCAGUCACACUGGGAGUGAGACACGGCCCAGACUCCUACGGGAGGCAGCAGUGGGGAAUUUUGGACAAUGGGCGAAAGCCUGAUCCAGCAAUGCCGCGUGCAGGAAGAAGGCCUUCGGGUUGUAAACUGCUUUUGUACGGAGCGAAAAGGUUCUCUCUAAUACAGAGGGCUCAUGACGGUACCGUAAGAAUAAGCACCGGCUAACUACGUGCCAGCCGCCGCGGUAA